UGGAACUGAGACACGGUCCAGACUCCUACGGGAGGCAGCAGUGAGGAAUCUUCCACAAUGGGCGAAAGCCUGAUGGAGCAACGCCGCGUGCAGGAUGAAGGCCCUCGGGUCGUAAACUGCUUUUAUAAGUGAAGAAUAUGACGGUAACUUAUGAAUAAGCACCGGCUAACUACGUGCCAGCAGCCGCGGUCAUACGUAGGGUGCAAGCAUUAUCCGGAGUGACUGGGCGUAAAGAGUUGCGUAGGUGGUUUGUUAAGUAGGUAGUGAAAUCUGGCGGCUCAACCGUACAGGCUAUUACCUAAACUGGCAAACUCGAGAAUGGUAGAGGUAACUGGAAUUUCUUGUGUAGGAGUGAAAUCCGUAGAUAUAAGAAGGAACACCAAUGGCGUAGGCAGGUUACUGGACCAUUUCUGACACUGAGGCACGAAAGCGUGGGGAGCGAACGGGAUUAGAUACCCCGGUAGUCCACGCCGUAAACGAUGGAUACUAGCUGUUGGAGGUAUCGACCCCUCCAGUAGCGAAGCUAACGCGUUAAGUAUCCCGCCUGUGGAGUACGGUCGCAAGACUAAAACAUAAAGGAAUUGACGGGGACCCGCACAAGCGGUGGAUUGUGUUCUUUAAUUCGAUGAUAAACGAUGAACCUUACCAGGGCUUGACAUCCCGAGAAUUUUGCCGAAAGGCGAGAGUGCUUUAUUGAACUCGGUGACAGAUCUUGCAUGGCCGUCGUCAGCUCGUGUCGUGAGAUGUUUGGUUAAGUCCAUCAACGAGCGCAACCCUUGUGAAUAGUUGGAUUUUUCUAUUCAGACUGCCCCGGCAACGGGGAGGAAGGAGGGGAUGAUGUCAGGUCAGUAUUAGUCUUACGUCCUGGGCUAGAAACGCAAUACAAUGGCAAGUACAAUGCGCAGCGAAGCCGCGAGGUGGAGCAAAUCGCAUCAAAGCUUGUCCCAGUUCGGAUAAGAGGCUGAAACUCGCCUCUUUGAAGUCGGAAUCGCUAGUAAUCGCAGAUCAGCAAGCUGCGGUGAAUACGUUCCCGGGUCUUGUACACACCGCCCGUCAAACCAUGAAAGUGACCAACACCCGAAGUCCGAUUCGUCGGCCUAAGGUGGGGGGCAUGAUUGGGGUUAAGUCGUAACAAGGUAUCCGUACCGGAAGGUGCGGAUG
This 1161-nucleotide ribosomal RNA is filed under the name marine metagenome. RNAcentral's name for it is "bacterial SSU rRNA". It matches the Rfam family "Bacterial small subunit ribosomal RNA", at positions 314 to 1520 of the family's 1533-position model. The record is from RNAcentral.